RNAcentral lists this transfer RNA (72 nucleotides) under Camelus bactrianus (Bactrian camel). It matches the Rfam family "tRNA". From Rfam's summary of the family: Transfer RNA (tRNA) molecules are approximately 80 nucleotides in length. Their secondary structure includes four short double-helical elements and three loops (D, anti-codon, and T loops). RNAcentral also lists the same sequence under 2 other names. The record is from Rfam by way of RNAcentral. Lineage: Eukaryota; Metazoa; Chordata; Mammalia; Artiodactyla; Camelidae.
GGAUCUAUAGCUCAGUGGUAGAGCACAUGUUUAGCACACACAAGGCUGUGGAUUCAAUCCCCAGUACCUCCA